GCCAGAUGCAAAAGCCUUUUGAAGAAGCAACAUUUGCUCUCAAGGUUGGAGAGGUAAGCGACAUUGUGGAUACUGACAGUGGAGUUCACAUCAUCAAGCGCACUGCUUAACUUCUCUCAUAAAGCUUGUGGCUCUACUUAUGAAGCACUUAAUCCAUUUAGGCUUGGCUCAAAUUGAAGUUGUUUAAGUAGGAUUUGUUUCUGCUCCAAGGCCACACGAAUUUUCUU
This 227-nucleotide unclassified non-coding RNA is filed under the name Hevea brasiliensis (rubber tree). Lineage: Eukaryota; Viridiplantae; Streptophyta; Magnoliopsida; Malpighiales; Euphorbiaceae. The record is from RNAcentral.